This 465-nucleotide ribosomal RNA is filed under the name Vreelandella stevensii. RNAcentral describes it as "partial 16S ribosomal RNA". It matches the Rfam family "Bacterial small subunit ribosomal RNA", at positions 338 to 795 of the family's 1533-position model. Lineage: Bacteria; Pseudomonadati; Pseudomonadota; Gammaproteobacteria; Oceanospirillales; Halomonadaceae. The record is from RNAcentral.
CCUACGGGCGGCAGCAGUGGGGAAUAUUGGACAAUGGGGGGAACCCUGAUCCAGCCAUGCCGCGUGUGUGAAGAAGGCCCUCGGGUUGUAAAGCACUUUCAGUGAGGAAGAACGCCUGGUGGUUAAUACCCAUCAGGAAAGACAUCACUCACAGAAGAAGCACCGGCUAACUCCGUGCCAGCAGCCGCGGUAAUACGGAGGGUGCGAGCGUUAAUCGGAAUUACUGGGCGUAAAGCGCGCGUAGGUGGCUUGAUAAGCCGGUUGUGAAAGCCCCGGGCUCAACCUGGGAACGGCAUCCGGAACUGUCAAGCUAGAGUGCAGGAGAGGAAGGUAGAAUUCCCGGUGUAGCGGUGAAAUGCGUAGAGAUCGGGAGGAAUACCAGUGGCGAAGGCGGCCUUCUGGACUGACACUGACACUGAGGUGCGAAAGCGUGGGUAGCAAACAGGAUUAGAUAACCCAGUAGUC